Long non-coding RNA from Etheostoma cragini (Arkansas darter), 128 nucleotides. RefSeq lists it as uncharacterized. The record is from RefSeq and is a predicted model, not a curated record. NCBI's taxonomy places the organism in Eukaryota, Metazoa, Chordata, Actinopteri, Perciformes, Percidae. The transcript is spliced from 4 exons.
UGUUGAAAAAGUAGUUUUGGGAAAUCAGCUUUUCCCUUUUGAGCAGCCCAUACAUGGAAUACCAUACCCACAGAACUAAGGAACAUCACAUCUACCAAAUUCAUAAAACAUUGAUUAUUGACUAAUCA